GGGGAGAGACUGUGGCUCAGGGGUAGAGCAUCUGCUUUGCAUGCAGAAGGUUCCUAGUUCAACCACUGGUGUCCCCA
Non-coding RNA from Podarcis lilfordi (Lilford's wall lizard), 77 nucleotides. The record is from the annotation of a GenBank genome assembly. Lineage: Eukaryota; Metazoa; Chordata; Lepidosauria; Squamata; Lacertidae.